This 483-nucleotide ribosomal RNA is filed under the name uncultured bacterium. Its description in RNAcentral is "partial 16S ribosomal RNA". It matches the Rfam family "Bacterial small subunit ribosomal RNA", at positions 30 to 507 of the family's 1533-position model. The record is from RNAcentral.
UUGAACGCUGGCGGAAUGCUUUACACAUGCAAGUCGAGCGGCAGCACGGGGGCAACCCUGGUGGCGAGCGGCGAACGGGUGAGUAAUACAUCGGAACAUGCCCAGUCGUGGGGGAUAACACUUCGAAAGAAGUGCUAAUACCGCAUACGUCCUGAGGGGGAAAGCGGGGGAUCGCAAGACCUCGCGCGAUUGGAGCGGCCGAUGUCAGAUUAGCUAGUUGGUGGGGUAAAGGCCUACCAAGGCAACGAUCUGUAGCUGGUCUGAGAGGAUGAUCAGCCACACUGGGACUGAGACACGGCCCAGACUCCUACGGGAGGCAGCAGUGGGGAAUUUUGGACAAUGGGGGCAACCCUGAUCCAGCCAUUCCGCGUGAGUGAAGAAGGCCUUCGGGUUGUAAAGCUCUUUCGGCAGGAACGAAACGGUGAGCUCUAACAUAGCUUGCUAAUGACGGUACCUGAAGAAGAAGCACCGGCUAACUACGUG